Amphiprion ocellaris (clown anemonefish) is the source of this 9029-nucleotide RNA transcript. It is a transcript of the gene named dual adaptor of phosphotyrosine and 3-phosphoinositides, with no coding region annotated. Lineage: Eukaryota; Metazoa; Chordata; Actinopteri; Pomacentridae. The transcript is spliced from 10 exons. The record is from RefSeq and is a predicted model, not a curated record.
GCUUCAGCUCCACCAUGUUCUAAAGAAUGGGCUGGCAGAACGACACUUAUUUCCUCUUAGGCGUGUGUGUGAUUGAAGCCACCAGCUUUCACUUCUCUUUGUAGCUGUUGUUGUUUGGAUGGUCCGAACACCACUGAGGUGCCUGAACACUGGUGGAGGGAUGAGUUUCUCCAGUGGUGCAUCUAUUGAGUACGUGAGUGACGAGCUGGAGACUUUGGGGUGGUACCAUGGUGACCUGUCCCGCCAUGCUGCAGAAGCCCUUCUCUUGUCCAAUGGGACAGAUGGAAGUUACCUCCUGAGAAACAGUAAUGAGGGACCUGGUUACUUUGCCCUGUCUGUGAGGGCUAAGGAUUCAGUAAAGCAUUUUCAGGUGACACGCAAAGACAGUGGCUAUGCAUUUGGGUUUAACAAGUUUGCAACCCUUCAAGAUUUUGUCAACCACUUUGCUAACCAGCCCCUGUUGGGCAGUGACACAGGAACCCUCAUUGUGCUGAAGAGCCCAUACCCUUUGUGUGUGGAAGAGCCAUCCAUUUAUGAAUCUGUGCGAGUUCACACAGCCAUACAGACAGGCCGCACAGAAAAUGAUCUGGUGGCAAAUGCACCAUCGCUGGGCACAAAGGAAGGCUAUCUAGUAAAGCAAGGAGCAGUUGUGAAGAACUGGAAACAGAGGUGGUUCACACUCAACAGAUAUGAACUUAAAUACUUCAGAGACAAAAUGUGUGAGGAGCCCAUUCGAACUCUUGAUCUGAGAGCCUGCUCUGCAGUCCAGUUUGAUUACUCUCAGGACAGAGUUAACUGUUUCUGGGAGUAUACCAAGACAGAACCAGGCUCAGGGACGGCAGCCAAUUCCAUCAACCAGUUGGCAUUGGAGGACAGAGGAGAGAGAACAUAUAAGUACUGGACAACAACAUCCAAUUAACACCAAGCAGAUUUAUUAGUAACCACUGAUCAAAAACAAGCAGCUCUUGAGCCAGCCAUGGCUACAGAAAGGUACAGUUAGAGAGAGAAAACAGACAGGAAAAGCACAGACUACAGGAGUGGUACAUUAGGGUCUUUGAGAUAAGGAGUUUUUGGAUGUUUUUGUAAAAGUUCAUCAGAAAACAAACCCCAGUCCCUGACCCACAGCAGGCUGGUUAUGGAAAGGAACAAACUAAAAUAAAGCACCAAAACAAACGAGCAAAAAUAGACUGGAUAAAACUAAGUUAAAAAAACAGAAAAAACAUUGAAUCAAAAACAAAACAAACAACAAAAAAACAUAGGCAUAAAAAAAAAAAAACAACAUUAAGAGGGUAGUAUCAAGACAGGAAAAACUGGUGGGACCGGUCUGGAGGGUGGCCCAGAGGCUGAUCAGACAGGCAGAGCUGGGCAGCUGGCCGGCAACAGUUACAGAACCCCCCUCUGGAAGAUGGGUAGCUGGCCAGGUGAAGGUGCAGCCCCUCAGGAGACUGAUGAUCGAGAUAGAAUUCAUCGUGAGACCAGGGAGAAAGCCAGUGGAUGGAGUUCGAACCCAUUGGGAGACCAUGCGAGAGCCCGGUGGUGGAGAUAAAAUCGGAGAUCCUCUAGUGGUCAAGCAGAGUUCGGCAGUGAAGGCAGGACUGGGCCAAAUGUUAAGGGGCAGCAGCAGGCAUGGCACACUGAUGUUUCUUGUGCUGGUUGUCUGCUGGGAGCACAGACUUUGAGCAGAGACAACAUCAGCAGGCACAGACUGAACUCAGCUGACAUUCAUGACGCUCGGCUGCAGACAUGGCAGGCAGAUUGUGGAAAUGUACAAACUCUAAUUAAAAAAAAGAAAAAACUGAGGUGUGCAGGUAAACAAAUUAAAGAAAAGGCAUCUAGUAAUCCAGGUAAAAUAUAUAUCCAAAAAUAAAGAUGAUCUUCCAACAAAGCUAAAUCCCAAAAAAUCCACAGAAAUCCAAAAAAACUGAAAAACAUCACAAACCAUAGGCCCGAGGAAAAGAACUGGCAGGAAAACAUGAGGGCAGGAAAACAGGAUAGCAACAGGAUGAAAUGACAAAGACAGAGGGAGAGAAAGGUCUAUUUAAGCACUCAGAACUGAUUGGGGAGACAAGACACAGGUGAAACUAGUCAGAGCAAUCUAAGGGGGAGGGAAAAGACAGACAAAGAACAGAAGUAAAAACACAAGCAACACAUGAUGAAAAAUAAUGUAAAAAAAAUAAAACAGGAACUAACCGAAACGAGAUCUGAAACUCACACAGAUAAACAAGAGACAAAAACAGACACAGUAAAGGAAAACACACAGAAAUACAUCACAGUAACAAAACUAGCAACCAGAACUCAAGACCAUGACAGUUUUUGAUAUCUUGUUUUUCACUGUUAUAUAAAGUCCUGCACGUCUAUGGAGACAGCAUGAAUAUGACACAAAAAUGUCCUUUGUUUAGCAGGACAGAGUUAGGAUGUCAUUAAUCAUUAAAAAGAAAGAAUAGCAAAAUUUAUUUAUAUAUCUCCCUAUAUAAAAAAAUCUAAUAUGGAAUCAGCUUGCACAAUGUUUUUCCCUACAGGGGACUUGGUAAAAGAGGACUUUAAAUUCCAUAGAUGUUAUGCUGCUUAAAUUUCGAUAGCCAGAUCUUCAGCCAAGUUUAGCCAAAAGUCCCUGAAUUUUUGACAUUUGACACAGCAUAGUCACUAAUAUAUUUUCUGUUACAGGCACAGAAUUACUUUUUUUGCAGUCUGGUUCGUCCAAAUGGUUUAUUUAGUAGACCUUCAAAAGUAUGACUACAACCACUACAGCAGAUGCAGAAAAUGUUUGUUGCUCAGUCUGUGAAAAUAUUCAGCAAAAGUUCAUCACAUACAUACAGAGAAAAGCUCAGUUUGAUUGCUGAGCUCGUAGUUCUUCCCUCGCAACCUGGGUUUGUUUUGUAUGUUAACAGCCCCCACUCAAAGUUAAUUUACUUAUAAAAACACAGGCUAAUAAUUAAAAGUAAGCAUUCUCCAGCUGUUUGUUUAACUGUGGCUGUGUUCAUAAAUUCAGUAUGAAAUUCAGAGUAUCCUGUAAAAUGUUGCUCAUAAUUUUAGUUUCACUUUCGGAGCACAAAGCAGCAGGAUUUAGUGAUUUCAGGUCUGCAGACAAACUCUGUCUUACGUUAUUUUCACAGUUUCUCUGACGUAUUGUUGGUGUUAGUGAAAUCCAUUCUUGAGCUGUUUUCAUUCGCGAAACCUUUAAAAUCACGGUACAAAUAUUGUCAAAGUCCUGCAUUCUUUUUAUAUUCGGUAACAACCCACAUGUUCUUUUUGACACUAUUAAAACAGUUCUUAGUGCUCCAGAACCCCACUGUCCCGAGGACCCAUCGAAAAUGUGAGGAUUUUUUGUAGUUUUUCAUUCGCAAAAUGGAGAGCACUAGAGCCCUUAUAAGUCAUCCUGCAUAUGACCCAGGCACAUCAGUAACCUACUCUGCUGUUUUUAAUCAAUUUGAACCUGUCAGCCUGCAUCUUUUAGAACAAGUUUUUGGUCAAAUGAGAAUAACAGGCUCCACCACUGAUGUGAUCCCUCCUCGUCUUUUUAAAGAGGUCUUUCCGACAUUGGCACCUUAUGUCCUGGAUAUUGUUAAUUGCAGCUUGGCCAAUGGUGUUGUCCCUUUAUGUUUUAAACAUGCAGUGGUGCAGCCUCUGUUAAAGAAAUCAAACCUUGAUCAACAGGCUUUUUCCAAUUAUCAGCCAAUUUCCAAACUUCCUUUGGUGUCCAGAAUUUUGGAAAAAAAUUGUGUACAUUCAGCUGAGCUCAUUUUUAAAUGAAAAUGGAAUUUCUGAGGUCUUCCAAUCAGGAUUCAAAACUGGCCACAGUACUGGGACGGCUUUGUUGAGUGUUUUAAUGAUGUUCUUCAGGCUUCUGAUUCUGGUCAUACUGUUGCUCUUCUCCUGUUGGACUUAACAACAGCCUUUGAUACGGUGGACCACCAGGUUUUAUUGUCACGGUUGGAGAACUGGGUGGGAAAAAAAGGCCUAGCUUUAGCCUGGUUUAAAUCGUAUUUGUCCAACAGAAGCUUUCCCAUCCAAAUUGGGGAUUCUGUUUCCACUGCGGCCCCUCUGAUGUGUGGCGUACAGCAAGGGUCAGUUCUUGGGCCCUUACUUUUUUUCAUUGUACUUGUUGCCUCUUGGGUCAGCUCUGCGUAAAUAUGAUGUGUCUUUUCAUUUUUACGCAGAUGACUGCCAAAUUUAUUUGCCUUUGAAACAGUCCAAGUCCCUUCUCGAAUGCUUUGAAGAAGUAAAAUUGUGGAUAGCUUACAAUUUUUUGCAUUUCAAUGAGCAAAAAACUGAGGUUUUGCUGUUUGCUCCCAAUGACUCUACUCGGGUGGUCAAAGCUGAGCUCGGCUCUUUAACCCAAGCUGUAAGCCCUGUUGUGAUGAAUCUGGGUGUAAAGAUGGACUCUGUUUUUAAAUUAGAUACCCAGAUCAGUGCUGUUGUGAAGUCAAGCUUUUAACAUUUGAGGCAACUUUCCAAAGUGAAGCCUUUUUUAUCUCGCCACAACUUUGAAAUUUUGAUCCACGCUUUUAUUACCACUCGUUUAGAUUAUUGCAAUGCUCUUUACUCAGGACUCAGCAAAACCUCACUGUCGAGACUACAGCUGGUUCAGAAUGCUGCCGCUCACCUUUUAACGGGAUCGCAAAAAUUUAAUCACAUAACUCCCAUCCUCCAAUCCCUCCACUGGCUCCCUGUGCACCUCCAUAUUGAUUUUAAACUUCUUUUAUUUGUUGUUAACGAAUGACAGUCCAACUCGUUUUAACUUGCCUUAAACACAGUGUCUUUAUUGGUUUCCCAAAAAACUCCAAAGUGCACAAAUUCCCAUUCACAAGUUGCCGUUCGGCAUGCAGCAUUCCGCGUUCGGCGUUUAGCGGUCAAAAACUGAUUUGUCCCCCUCCGGCUGGAAACCCUACCUAGCCACAAAGGUUCCUACCUUAUAUAGGUAAAAUAGACAAUCAAUCAAUUACAAGUGAAACCCACUGACACCAAUAUAAUUUACAGAGCAUAUUUCAAAUCUGCUCCUACAAGUACAGUUAAAAUCUUUAUGAUACCCAUCCCUAGUGUGUAUGCACCUACAAUGAUGUACCCUUAAGAAGAAAAGGAAACAUUUUACCAAGAUUUUGCCAAAGUGGUGUACACUGUACCAAGGGCAGACCACCUCCUCAUUCUAGAGACUUUAACACAAGGUAUUGUGGAGAUCACAAGACAGGUAAGAGUGUUAUUGGAAAAUUUGGCAAGGGCAAGAAGAACACCAAUGUUGACCUCCUCCUGAACUUCUUGGCUGAACAAAAAUUGAGUAUUACAAACAAUGUCUUUUACAAACUCAAAAAGAACUAUACCUGGAUGCACCUGAGGUCUAAGCGCUACUAUCUGCAGAUCUAUGCUGUGUGCUCCAAGGACAACCUGCCUGAGGUGUUCUCAACAUAAGCAAUGUGUCGAGCUGAAUGCUCAACCAACCAUCACUUGCUCCAGAUGCAACCUGGGCUGAAAUUGAAAAUGAAAGUGUUGAAAGUGCAAGCUCUACAAUGACCAGCUAUAAGAGAAUUCACAAAGGAGCCUUGCACAGCUUUUAAGAAAUCAAGUCCAGCAUGCAGAGAAAGAUCAGAGAGAUGAUGGACAGCUGGUGGUUUAGGAAGGCUGAAAAGCUACAAGAGAUGGCAGAUCAAAACGACAUGCGUAGCCGCACAACAGCAAGCUUUGCAGUGACCUGAAGGACAUAACAGCACAGUGGAAAGAGCACUUCAAUAACCUGCUAUACCAAUAAAGAUCAGCUGACCUAAAUGCCUACUAAUGGCUCACAAUAAAACCUGUCAGAGAGGAACUGUGUGGACAAAUUGCACAAAUUUUGCCAAUCUACACAAAAAGCAAUUGGAAUAUGUGUUCAAUUCACUGUAGCAUCUCUCUGCUAUCCACUGCCGGAAAAGUCCUGGCGAAGAUUGUCCUAAACAAAAUGAAGACCCCCUUUGUAAGAAAUACUGCCUAAAAGAAAAUUUAAAGCAGGCAGGCUUUGCAUCUAUUUGAUCUUCACAGUGAGUCUGCUCCAGGAGAAAGCAGUGGAGGAGUAACAGCCCUUUAUGUGGUCUCCAUCCAAUUCCCCAAAGCCUUCGAUACUAUGGACAGAGGAACUCUGUGAAAAGUGCUACAAGUGUACAGAUGCCCCACGACACUUAUUAACAUCAUUACACUCUUCCAUGAUGACAUGAAGGGAAAAAUGUCUAUUGGAGGGGACCUCAGUGUUGCUUUUAAAAUCAAGCAUGGAGUGAAACAAGGCUGUGUCUUGUCACUGAUACUCUUUACAUUCUAUCUCUCAGCAGUCCUUGAGACCGUGGCAAUCAACUUUUAUCAGAGGUAUGGACCAGAAUGGAUGGAAGCUCUUCAGUUUUUCCAGACUCAAGGCUUGCACUAAAACAAGGGAUGUGGUUGUGCGAGAGCUUCUCUAUGCUAAUGAGUUCACCCCAGUUGCUGUUGACCUAGAUGAAAUACAGUUGCCAUUGCUUUUCAAUCACUUUACAGCUGCCACUUUGUUUGGAUCAAUGUUUCCAAGACUGAAAUUCUUUACCAUCCUUCCACCCAUCUUAGAAGUGGGUGGAAGGAUGGAAGGUUAAAAAUACUGGUCAGUGGCAAGGCACUCAUAACCACAGAAUGUUUCACUUACCUGGACAGCACAGUAACCAAUGCAAACAGUACAAACCUGGAAGUUUACUGAAGGAUCAAGUCAGCGACCAAAGCCUUUGGAGCUUUCUCUGGUCAAGCCAUGAUGCCAAAUUGCAGACAAACAUCAAAGUGUAUAAUGCGGCUGUGUGACCGUGCCUGCUCUAUACCACCAAAUCUAUGAUGCUCUAUCGAAAGGACAUCAAGAUGCUCACCAGGACUCAGAUUUGCCAUCUAUGGCAAUUCUUAAUAUACGGCAGGACAGGGUGUCUGACAUAAAGGUAUUAAAAUGAGCUAGCACUCACAGCCCAGAAGCCAUCAUUACAGCUUCUCAACUAUGAUGGGCUGGCCACAUUUGGAGAAUGCCUGAAAACCCCUACCAAAGGGUGUCUUCUGCAGGGAACUUUACUCUGGUACAAAGAUGUCCUGAAGUGCUACUUCAAGAAAUGUGCAGUGAGCCCCAAUGCAUGGGAAAUAGAGGUUCUUGAACCUAGAAGAGCACUGAAGGAAGGAAUAUGAGGGGAAACACCAACUAAACCAUGCCCUACCAGCUCACAACAACCAAAGGUGUACUUGAGUAUGACGCUGCCACUCCAGAGCUGGCCUUGGAGCACACCUGCCAAAUUUUUUGGGAAAACUAGGAACCACAAGUAAGCUUGUACUCUGAGAGAGAAGUGCUUUGUUUGGAUAAUAUGGUACAAUAUAAGACAGACUCAGUCAUUGUGGAGUACAGAGGAACAGAAUUUUCUAUUCUAUUCUGAAUUUUACAGGGACCCGGUGAAGUGAAGCUAAUAUGGCAGAAAUAUCAUCCAGUGUUUCCUCUACAUUCAUUCAGCAGCGGCCCGCCGCUGCUAAAUCCUGGCCGCCGCUCCUUCAAAUUUCUUUCUUUCAUUUUUUUUUGUUCUUGUCGCAAAUACACCACUGCCACGUCUCCACCUUCACACCAGAGUUCUGCACUGUGUCGGGUGCUCACGAGUACUAAGCUUAGUGUUUGCUAAGCGGACAUUUUAUCUUUGUGCAAAGACGGGUGUGGAGGCAGAUGAGUGGAUCAAGAUCCUGAGGUGGAAACUGUCACAGAUAAGAAAAGGUCGAUGACGAUCACUGGAGACACAGGAGACGUUAAGAAGCCCUAUCUUCAUUGAAGAUGUCAUAAUACUGGAAGACCAAUUAUGAACAGCACUGUUUACAACAGAAGAGUAUAUUAAUGUGUAAACUUGAAUAGCACUGGAGCAUAUGACAUAACCAUUCAGAAUGUAAAUGUAUCAAUGUAAUGUUUAUUAUUAAGUCAUGCUUGCAUUAUUUUAUUAUUAAGAUCAAAACCAAUAAUGAGUCAAUCUGUCUCUUAAUACCUUCAGACUUCUCUACCUAAAGCUUCUCCAAGCUCACUGGUUUCGACUAAACUGUAUUUUUAAUUUUUUUUUUAAACUAAGAGAUGUUGUAUAAUUGUUUAAAAGAACUACAUUAUUUUCAUUAUCCCCAAUUGUAGAUUUACCAAGAAUUAUUGACACGAGAAAAUAAUGCAUCAGAUAAGGAUUAUUUUCUGUGACAAAUCCAGAUUUUGUGCUCUUGUGAGUAUUUCCUUGAAGAAGAAAGAGGUUUGUUAAAUUGAUUCAAAAUAAACUGCAAUGCGUGUUCACAGUAAAGAAAAACAUGUCACCCACUACAACAGUAAUGUGUUACAGAUCACUGAUGUGAUUUUUUUUUCUAUUUUUGGGGGAAUUGGUCUUUAUGGCACAAAGGACGCUAUAGUAGUUUGUUGUCUUUCAGUUACUAAUAUAUUAUAAUACCUUUCAGUAGCAUCAGUUCAUUGUUUUAAUUAUGGCAUUGGAUUGACUGCUAAUUUGUUCAGAAAGUCACAGAAUUGACUUUAUAUUAAAAUAAAGUAGGUAAUUACAAUAUAGCUUAAUCGGGAUGGUGCUCAUGGAUGAUUAAUGUAGGUACAUGUAGAAAAUAUACACAAAUUAAGCAUCAGAACUCAUAUAUCGCUCUUUGUGGUGACACCUGUAACAGCUCCAAGUUCCAGCAGGGGUUGACUAUAUUUGACCACUAGACUUUAUGUUUAUAGAUUUGUCUGAUUAUAGUAUGGGUUCUACAAUGCCUCUGUGGUUUUCGCUGUCACCUCACAGCUUGAAGAUCUCCAGUUCACAUCCCAGCCUGGGUCUGCAUAGAGUUUGCAUGUUCUCCCUGUGCAUGCAUGGGUUUUCUUUGGGUACUCUGGCUUCCUCCCACAGUCCAAAAACAUGCUGAGAUUAACUGAUAAUUCUAAAUUGUCCAUAGGUGUGAAUGUGAGUGUGCUUGUUUGUCUUUCUGUGUAGCCCUGUGAUAGACUGGUGACCUGUCCAGGGUGUCCCCUAUCUUCACUCUAAAUGUGCAAUGGCAAUAAAGUUGAAUCUUGCAUUUUU